GUGAUAUGGUGCCUAGUCCUCCAGGGCCUUGCACACUGUAGGUGCUCAAUAAAUAUUGUUGAAUCAAUGAAUGAAUCUCUAUGACAGGAAAGAAUUCUGAGCUGAUACCCUGAUUGGAUGGGCGAACAGUGACACUGACAUAAGUAUAUAUUAUUUCUUCUACACAUGUCAGAGGAAACAUUCCACUGAAAAGAGACUCAAAAACCUUGAGUUCUCCUUCCCAAUAACCUAGGAAAAAGGUCUGCAUGGAUCAAGUCCCUGAGAACUCUGGCAUCAGUUUUUGUAGAGAAAAAUCAACUGCUGCUGUGUUUGAUGAGUUCCCCAUGAUCCUUGCUCAUGGCCAGGAAAUGUUGAGGUUGUGAGAGAACUGGAGGGAUAUUAGGCCAUCGUAAGAGUACUCUCCCCGCUGAGUCUCUGUCUCUGCUGAGUUUUGCUCUAAGAAUCUUGAAUGCUGACGUUCGUAGCCAGGAGAAGACAUGGUUUAUUUCUCUCUGACCAGGUUAUCCUUCUAAGCCGACAGAAACUGCUGGAAUGGUGUCUGUCCUAGGAGUUCACCUAAAUGAGUUCAUGCCAUUACUUAUCUGGGAAGGUGAGUCAUUUAAUUCUAUUGACUAGGGUCAAAUGGUGGUCGUUACUUCAGCCGAAAUCUAGACAA
This 655-nucleotide long non-coding RNA is filed under the name Phascolarctos cinereus (koala). Its description in RNAcentral is "lncRNA (ENSPCIG00000031202.1)". The record is from RNAcentral. Lineage: Eukaryota; Metazoa; Chordata; Mammalia; Diprotodontia; Phascolarctidae.